CCUACGGGUGGCAGCAGUGAGGAAUAUUGGUCAAUGGGCGAGAGCCUGAACCAGCCAAGUCGCGUGAGGGAGUACUGCCCUAUGGGUUGUAAACCUCUUUUGUCGGGGAGCAAAAGCCGGACGUGUCCGGCUGUGAGAGUACCCGAAGAAAAAGCAUCGGCUAACUCCGUGCCAGCAGCCGCGGUAAUACGGGGGAUGCGAGCGUUAUCCGGAUUGAUUGGGCGUAAAGGGUGCGUAGGCGGCCUGCUAAGUCUGGAGUGAAAGGUACCGGCUCAACCGGUACAGGCUCUGGAAAGUGGCGGGCUAGAGGGCAGGAGAGGGCGGUGGAACUCCAUGGGUAGCGGUAAAAUGCGUAGAUAUAUGGAAGAACACCAGUGGCGAAGGCGGCCGCCUGGCCUGUUGACUGACGCUGAGGCACGAAAGCGUGGGGAGCAAAUAGGAUUAGAUACCCUUGUAGUC
RNAcentral lists this ribosomal RNA (459 nucleotides) under uncultured bacterium. RNAcentral's name for it is "partial 16S ribosomal RNA". It matches the Rfam family "Bacterial small subunit ribosomal RNA", at positions 338 to 795 of the family's 1533-position model. The record is from RNAcentral.